GUAUAUAUAUAUAUAUAUAUAUAAUUUAGUUCUGAAUAACUUAAUAAUCAAUCUAUAGCAGGGCGCCUUCCUCUAAUUGCAAUAGAAGGAGCCCAACACACACACACACACAAGCACUUUCUACCCUUCGUAAGAGGUUCAGAAAUGGACAGAACCUUAGCCCUAAGUUGAUCUCCUUUGAAGAUGGUGCCCUUUAUAAACAGAAAAAAUAAACCUCAGACUACAUUUAACCAAUUAAAUAAAGAGUAUAUAUUGUGAAAAAAAAACAUAAUUAUGUACAUAUUCCCCUUUAGAAGAUCUUACACCAAAAAAAAAAUGAACAUGUGCACAUAUACUGAUUUAUGUGAUCAUACCCAUGAACCAUCCCCCUUUAUAAUGAAACUGCACAGAGAAACAACAAAAGGAAAAGGGUAAAAAAAAUGGCUGUUUAAGACAGCACAAGAAUAUACACAGCACAGUCUCACACACACACAUAUAUACUGUGUGUGUAUGUAUGUGUAUAUAUAUAUAUAUAUAUAUAUAUAAUAUACGUCAAACCAUACACCCCAUACACAUUCCCUUUUUGACCAAAUGAUCCCAAUGCCUGGGUAUUUCACAAGUCCAACAUACUGGUAAAAUGCAACAAUGAGGAUGCAUCCCCUCUGCGAUAUUAAGGAGCAUUCCUUGUGGUUUGAAGACAGUCCAUCUCCUUAUGUCAUACACCAGCUUAUUUAUGUGGGGACCCACAGUCGUGGUUUAGCCACAUUCCCCUUUUAAGUGAUAUCCUGAAAAUCCUACAUUCCUCAGACAUAUAUUUCAAAGGAACAAGGCGGCAGAAACAAAGUGAAUACAAUAUGUAGCACCUGUUACAACAGGUGUUAGUACGAAAGUGGUAAAGGUCUCCAAAAAAUAUAACUUGCUUAAUAUUGAAUAUAGUAGGGGCGGCAUGGUAGUGCAGUGAUUAGUGCUGCUGCUGCUGCAGAUCUCUGGCAGACUCUAAAUGAAUCCCAGGCCUGGUCACAGCCUUGAGGUUUGCAUGUUCUCCCUGCAUGUGGGGUUUUCUGCAAAACUUCGAUUUUCACCAUAAAUCCCAAAGAUGUGCAUGUUAAGUUAACUGUCAACUGCAAAUUCAAUGUGCUGCGAGCAUGGGUGUAUGCAUAUGAGUGCUUCCUGCCUUUUCUUUGUGCUUGAUGAUGCUGGAAAUAGCUUCUGACUUUCAUGACUCUGAAUUUGAUGAAUAAGUCGGGAAAAACAAUAAAUGUGUAAAAUGUAUUUAAAUAGUUAUAUGGUGUUAAUUGUGUAGAUGUUUUAGUUCUUACCUUCUGUUACAGUAUUUUCUUGCCUUUUUGUUCCCUGCUGGGUGCGCUGUAACACAUGGGCCAUAUCUCAUUUCUAUUACUAAAUGAAUAGUUGUCAUCUUUGUAGUCAUUAAUCAUUUUAUUGUUUAUAUUUUGAUUAAUUUAUUUUUACAGCUGUUUGGGACAUAGAAUUUAGAAUUUAUCAGUGAUAAUUUAUUUGGUUUCUUUAUGUUAGCAAUAGUUGUGUGCUCAAAUCCAAUAGUGACACCGUAUGACAAUGAAUAAAGUCACUUCACCUACCUGUGCUCCACUUGAAAAACCAAACGAAAUGUAAUCAACAUUUAUUCCAGAUAUUGAAAGUUGCUUUGGAUGAAGGUGAUUUGUAAAUGUAAUGUGAAUGGUGAAAAUAACUCGCAUCACCCUAUUAUAAUA
This is a long non-coding RNA of Erpetoichthys calabaricus (reedfish), 1709 nucleotides long. RefSeq lists it as uncharacterized. The transcript has 2 exons. NCBI's taxonomy places the organism in Eukaryota, Metazoa, Chordata, Cladistia, Polypteriformes, Polypteridae. The record is from RefSeq and is a predicted model, not a curated record.